UGGCAGCCUAAUUUGGUACAUCUCUAAUCGAGGGGCAAUCCACCAACUGACUUCUACUUUUCAAUGAGUCCAACUACACCUAUUGAAAAGCUCGGAUGAGAAUAUUUAUCCAAGUACUUGACUAUGAUAUGUGGAGUAUCAUAGUGAAUAGAUCUCAUAUACCCACUAAGUUGAUUGAUGGUGUGUCCCUCCCUAAGUUGGAAGGUGAAUG
Molecule: long non-coding RNA, 211 nt
Filed under: Elaeis guineensis (African oil palm)
Lineage: Eukaryota; Viridiplantae; Streptophyta; Magnoliopsida; Arecales; Arecaceae
Description: long non-coding RNA (EGUI_LNC045508)
Source: RNAcentral